RNAcentral lists this ribosomal RNA (253 nucleotides) under uncultured bacterium. RNAcentral describes it as "partial 16S ribosomal RNA". It matches the Rfam family "Bacterial small subunit ribosomal RNA", at positions 524 to 776 of the family's 1533-position model. The record is from RNAcentral.
UACGAAGGGGGCUAGCGUUGCUCGGAUUGACUGGGCGUAAAGGGCGCGUAGGCGGUUCGUAUAGUCAGACGUGAAAUUCCUGGGCUCAACCUGGGGGCUGCGUUUGAUACGUGCGGACUUGAGUGCGGAAGAGGGUCGUGGAAUUCCCAGUGUAGAGGUGAAAUUCGUAGAUAUUGGGAAGAACACCGGUGGCGAAGGCGGCGACCUGGUCCGAUACUGACGCUGAGGCGCGAAAGCGUGGGGAGCAAACAGG